RNAcentral lists this ribosomal RNA (813 nucleotides) under uncultured bacterium. Its description in RNAcentral is "bacterial SSU rRNA". It matches the Rfam family "Bacterial small subunit ribosomal RNA", at positions 505 to 1320 of the family's 1533-position model. The record is from RNAcentral.
GUGCCAGCAGCCGCGGUAAGACGAAGGGGGCGAGCGUUAUCCGGAAUGACUGGGCGUAAAGGGUCCGUAGGCAGCAUUUUUUGUUAAUUGUGAAAGAAAAAAGCCCAACUUUUUUUAGCUUUUAAUACAUUAAUGCUUAGAGUUUGAGAGGGGAUAGCAGAGUUUCACAUGGAGGGGUGAUAUCCGUAGAUAUGUGAAGGAAUACCAGAGGCGAAGGCGGCUAUCUAGCUCAAUACUGACGUUGAGGGACGAAAGCAUGGGGAGCAAACAGGAUUAGAUACCCUGGUAGUCCAUGCCCUAAAAGAUGAGUGCUCGUGCUUAGAGAUUUUUAGGCACUUAGUUAACACGUUAAGCACUCCGCCUGGGGAGUACGACCGCAAGGUUGGAACUCAAAGGAAUUGACGGGGGCCUAUACAAGUGGUGGAGCAUGUGGUUUAAUGCGACAAUACGCGCGAAACCUUACCAGUUCUUGACAUAUAAAUGAAAAAGUCUGCAGAGAUUUUUUUUAAGGUUUUUACAGGUGCUGCAUGGCUGUCGUCAGCUCGUGUCGUGAGAUGUUAGGUUAACUCCUUUUAACGGGCGAAACCCCUGUUUCUAGUUGCCACUUAGAUUUUAAUCUAAAGCACUCUAGGAAGACAGUUCCAUUCUUUUAGAAUGGAUAGGAAGGUGGGGAUGACGUCAAGUCCUUAUGGCCCUUAUGAACUGGGCUACCCACGUGCUACAAUGGUAAAGACAAUGGGAAGCAAGAAGGUAACUUGGAGCCAAUCCCAAAACUUUGCCAAAGUUCGGAUUGUGGACUGCAACUCGUCCACA